RNAcentral lists this ribosomal RNA (775 nucleotides) under uncultured Neocallimastigales. Its description in RNAcentral is "partial large subunit ribosomal RNA". It matches the Rfam family "Eukaryotic large subunit ribosomal RNA", at positions 24 to 633 of the family's 3401-position model. The record is from RNAcentral. Lineage: Eukaryota; Fungi; Neocallimastigomycota; Neocallimastigomycetes; Neocallimastigales.
UAUGUGAUCGUCUCUCGCAUAUCAAUAAGCGGAGGAAAAGAAACUAACAAGGAUUCCCCUAGUAACGGCGAGUGAAGCGGGAAGAGCUCAAAUUUGAAAUCUUAAAGGGUUUCCCUUUACGAAUUGUAGUUUAAAGAAGUGUUUUCUGUUGAGGUUUUGGUAAAAGUUCUUUGGAAUAGGACAUCAUAGAGGGUGAGAAUCCCGUAUUUGACCUUUACUUUCAACUUUGUGAUACACUUUCAAAGAGUCGGAUUGUUUGGGAAUGCAGUCCAAAAUGGGUGGUAAAUUUCAUCUAAAGCUAAAUAUUGGCGAGAGACCGAUAGCGAACAAGUACCGUGAGGGAAAGAUGAAAAGAACUUUGAAAAGAGAGUUAAACAGUACGUGAAAUUGUCAAAAGGGAAGCGUUUGACACCAGUGUUGUUUUUCUGAAAAUCAAUUAAAGAACUGUUUAUGCUAAGUUGUUUAGACUUUAUCAGCUAACUGUUUAGUUUUGAGCUUUUCUUUAAUGCACUUUUCAGUUAACAAGUCAACAUCAAUUUCUUUUAGCUGUAAAAAAGCUUGAGGAAGGUGGCUUGAGAUUCGUCUUAAGUGUUUAUAGCCUCUUGCCUAUGCAGUCGGAGAGAUUGAGGUCUGCAGCGUAGAUCCUUCGGGGCUAAAUGCAUUUGUGCUAAGUUAUAGCAUUUUAUAGACAACUUGUUGACUAUGAUUUGUCUUGUAGCGUACUCGCUUAUGUUAUUUUACCUACGCUUAGGAUGUUGAAGACUCUACAGAGAUA